RNAcentral lists this ribosomal RNA (218 nucleotides) under uncultured bacterium. RNAcentral's name for it is "partial 16S ribosomal RNA". It matches the Rfam family "Bacterial small subunit ribosomal RNA", at positions 1283 to 1500 of the family's 1533-position model. The record is from RNAcentral.
CCGUCUCAGUUCGGAUCGCAGGCUGCAACCCGCCUGCGUGAAGUCGGAGUCGCUAGUAAUCGCGGAUCAGCAUGCCGCGGUGAAUACGUUCCCGGGCCUUGUACACACCGCCCGUCACACCAUGAGAGUCGGGAACACCCGAAGUCCGUAGCCUAACCGCAAGGAGGGCGCGGCCGAAGGUGGGUUCGAUAAUUGGGGUGAAGUCGUAACAAGGUACC